Molecule: ribosomal RNA, 384 nt
Filed under: uncultured bacterium
Lineage: Bacteria
Description: bacterial SSU rRNA
Rfam family: Bacterial small subunit ribosomal RNA
Source: RNAcentral
AUUGAACGCUGGCGGCAUGCCUUACACAUGCAAGUCGAACGGCAGCACGGGGGCAACCCUGGUGGCGAGUGGCGAACGGGUGAGUAACAUAUCGGAACGUGCCCUGGAGUGGGGGAUAACUAGUCGAAAGAUUAGCUAAUACCGCAUACGAUCUACGGAUGAAAGUGGGGGAUCGCAAGACCUCAUGCUCGUGGAGCGGCCGAUAUCUGAUUAGCAGUUGGUGGGGUAAAGGCCUACCAAGGCAUCGAUCAGUAGCUGGUCUGAGAGGACGACCAGCCACACUGGGACUGAGACACGGCCCAGACUCCGUACGGGGGCAGCAAUUAGGAAUCUUGCGCAAGUGGGCGGAAGCCUGACGCAGCGACGUCGCGGUGGGGGACGAAA